CGCUUUGGCGAAUGUAAGUCGCUUUGGAUAAAAGCGUCUGCUAAAUGACUAAAU
Non-coding RNA from Danio rerio (zebrafish), 54 nucleotides. NCBI's taxonomy places the organism in Eukaryota, Metazoa, Chordata, Actinopteri, Cypriniformes, Danionidae. The record is from Rfam.